UCAAAUUGUCAUGUACAACUAACCAUAAUAAACAAUUUAGUAAUAAAGUUAAUUAUUUAAUUAAAAUUUGUUCACAUCAGUGAUUUAAAUUAAUUGACCUUUUACAAAAAAAAAAGUAACUGGAAAAUUUCCUAGCGGGGAACCCGAUCCCCGCGAAUUCCCCACGGGAAAUCCCCGUCCCGAUCCCUGUGGGGAAUGAAAUGGGGAGCGGGGAUGGGGAUAGGGAAUGACAUCCCCGGCCCCAUCCCGCCCCGUGGACAUCUCUAGUUUUAUGUGACAGAGAAAUAACUUAUUGUCCUUUUUAUGGGUCUCUAUCAUUGUAAUUUCUUUCCCAGUCUAUUUACAGGGCCCAUCUCUGUUUGCUUAGAUACGACUUGACUAUUCCAUUUGCUAGGUAUGUCGCCAUGAAUAGUUUAACAUCAUUCAAAAGGUAUCAAAGAGCAAAAGUUCAUAGAAGGGACAAUGAUGAAGUCACUGAGAGGAAAAUUUCCAAAGAAGUUCAAUAAUGAUUUUAUUAUGUGGAUUGCCCUUUUAUAAGCCAAGGGUUGGAGGAUUUACAAAUGAUAGUUAGACUAGUUGAUAUAACAGACUCAAAAUCUAAUUUAAAGAAUAAAGAUAAAAUGAAAGACUAAUUACAAUAAAAUGACAGCUAGUCAGUUGGUAAAGUGGCAUUUGACUUGAGUCUUGCCAGAGGACUUGAUUACUACACUGGAGUAGUUUAUGAAGCAUAUGUCAGUUGUUUGAUAUUAAUUCUGACUCUGCUUUAAUUGCUAGAGAAUCUUCUAUGAUAAUUCAAGUUCCAGUUAUUGGGAGGAUUUUGUUGUGUUAGAUCAGUCAAUAGAAUUUAACUUUCUAUUAUUUUGAAUUAUUGCUCAUUCUUGCAUGGUUAGUUCGAGAGCUUGAUAUCCCAUCCAACCCCUUCUUUCUUGAUAUGUCUCUUCACACGUUCACCGACUCCUAACCAGCUAAGAGACUGUAUCACUAGCUGCUAAACACAAGAAUAACCCUAUAAACAUAAAUGUCCCACAUCCCCCAAAAUUUUAGCCCAUCUCUUACCCCUUUUUCUAGGCCUUGUAAUGUGAUUUUGGGGUGUGACAGAAGUAACUAUAGCUUUGAGAGGUCCAAUUAGUGGUGUAUAAUCAACUUUGGCCUCUACUUAACAACUUCAUGUAGGAAUGAUUAAAAUAGAUAUCAAGGUCUUCAAGCUAUCCAUCGAGGUUCAGAAGGGAAUCAAGUCCGGGACAUAAUGAGGUAUCUUUUAGAAAUGCUCAACUGAAAGCUCUUGUCUCCAUCCACAAUCUGGAGAUUAUAAUCCACCAAGCUAGGUUGGGAGCUAGCCAUAAGGUUCUUGAAUUGAAUUGAAAAGGCAAGUAUAAUUUGCGUUUUAGAUUCUACUACAGCUUACCGUACAUAUGCUAAAAGUUUAGCCUUUAUUUUUGUUUCUUUUUUUAUGUAUACCAAAAUGGAGUGAGAUUCUUGUGGUGGGUGUUAGUUUUUGCUCUUUCUUUUUCCUCUACUACUUCUUAGAAAUGGGUAAAAAGGAGUGGAGAACCUCUUCAGAUACUGAUUGAAUUUGUGCAAGUUUAAUUUUGUAUUAUUUUUUGUUUUUAAUGUUGGAAAUACUAAGAGGCUUUAAAUUUAAGUUUGGGGAGGUUAUGUAGAAAUUGCUACUAAGUUAGGGGAAGGUUAGUACGUUGUAAUAGUAUUGUUGAGGUUUAGAAAACUUUUGCUAUCUAUAUUGGAACAACUCUUUUUAGAGGUUUAGAAAUUGCCAUAGCUAUGUUUUUCCAUUUAGGGGGUCUUGAGAUUUCUGAUUUUUUUUUGGGUUGUUUUCAUCAUCUCUUCACUACUUUUGCUGAAGAUUUAUAAUUUAUUUUGUGUUUGCUAUAGUUUUUUUGUGUUACAUAGGGGUGAAGCUCUUAAACCGUUUCUUGUUCUCAACAUAUCUUUUUGUUGCGUGUUCAGGUAAUCUUCACUUUCUAAUCCUCAAUCUUCUACGCUAAUUCCCUCUUUAGACUAGCAUCUAUGUAUCUUGUAAACUUGCAGACCUUUUUUGUUGUUAUGUUUUUGUUUAGUUAAGUAGUGGUUGUCCUUUUCUUUUUUGCAUAUGUGAUGUAGGUUUGCCAACCUUUCUUUGUUUAGACUACACCCAAUUACAUUUUUUUUCAUGUUAGAAUUUUUAUAGAGUAAAAACGAAAUUUUAGCUCUUUUUCAAUUGUUUUGAGAGUCAAAGUGUGACUUAGAAACUUUUAGGAACUUUUUACGUGGUUUUGAUAGUCUAAAAGACACCUACAUUCCCUUUAUAUGUAUAAAAUAAAAGAUAUGUGAAUUGGUUUUGAGUUUGUGACAUUUCUACUUGGUUGUUGGCAAUUUUAAACCAUGCAUUUGCUUUUGAUUAUAUGUGCUUUUGUAUUUGUUAUUAUGUGCAAUCAUUUUUAGAAUGAAUGAAUAUAAUUUUUUGCAUAUUGUUUGUUAUUUUUCUCCCUUAAAAUGCUUGAACGUGCCUUGCAAUGUCUCAUUUCAACUCUAUGUUUUAGUUGCCAUUUUUUAGCUUGCUUGACUAUUUAGAUAAUGAAAAGUAAAAUCUUAACUUUGUAACUUUGUUGUAAUUAACGUUCUCUCUUUUGGUUUCAUUUUUUCAUUUUUUCUUAUUAAAAGGUUUCUCACCUUUAAAAUGAAAUUGAUACUCUAAUUUAAAACGAAAUUGGUACUUUAAUUUGGUCUUAUGUCAAAGUUGAGUGUGACCAUGUGUGAUAAUCUUUGCUUGUUCUCUUAUUAGUUUCUCACCUUUUAAGGUGAUUGUUGUUGACAAAGUCAUCAAGUCUUUGGGCUAUAGGCAGUGAGAGAUUUUUUUUGGGAUAGUGGAGGAGAGGAAUAUCUAGAGGUCAAAGAUAAAAUGUUAGCUUAUAAGUGGUUAUGGCACCUUCACUUCCGAUCUUGGAUGAACCCUCUUCUGGUCUUGAUAAUUCGUUUUCACAUAUACUCUUCAAAGCAAUUAGACGUAAGACUCUAGAAAAGGAGUAAACAUUUGCAUGGUUGUUCACCAGUCAAGCUAAGCAACUCAGAAAAAAGAAUUAUCUUUGUAUAUUUGGAAAUGGUCUAAAACCUAUUUUGGUCUUGUUCUUUUGGCUUUCGUCCACAUUGAAAAUAUGCAACCAAUUUUUUCCCAACUUGAUUGAAGUAUUUUAUGUGAAUAACACUAUUAAUAUGGUUUAUUAGUUGAUAUAUUAUAUGAGAUAAAAAUCAUGAUGCUUUAGUUUUUAUUAGGUGAAUGAAGUGGCGAUACAUGCAAGAGCUACAUAUAAUGGGAAGCAUAAUUGUAUUGGAUGCUUUCCAAAAUAGAAAAACUAGAAUAUAAUUUUGAUGGUAGUAACUUUUGGUCAUGUGAAUGUUCUUUUUGGAUUAUAUGUACUCCAUUUUUAUGGGAUUGCAUGAAUUUGGAGCUAACUCAUGAUGUAUUUCGAAAAAUGUUGGUUAAAUUAACUUUUGAGAUUAAUAUGUAGUAUUUCAUUUUCAUAUGAUAUAACUUUGAAGAUUCUAGGUAUAUUUAAGUGGAAAUUAACUUUUGAUCAUAUACGGGAAAAAAAACUAUAGAUGUGAAAAAAAAAAAUAUUUAAAAUCUAUAUUAAAAUAAUAUUUAAAAUAUAUAUUAUUGUAUCUCUCCCAAUGCUAUAGAAAGUAUAAAGUAUAAUACUUUUGCCAAUAUUAUAAAAUGUAAAAAAUCUGCAAUUGAAAGUGGAAUUUCAUAUCACUUUCCAUAACAUUGAAAAAAAUGCUAUAAUAAGGUUAUUAUUAUUAUUUUUUUUUACUUUCAAUAACAUUAGCUAUGAUAGCGUGGAGAAAAAUGCUAUAAAAGGGUUAUAAUAGUGUUUUUUACAUGUUAUAAGAAAUGCUAUAAAAAUGUUUUGAUAGCUUUUUUCUCAUGCUAUUAAAAAUGCUAUAAAAUAGUUUUGACAGCGUUUUUUCAUGCUAUUAAAAACAUUAUGAAAGAGAAAACAUAGCGUUUUUGGCUUAUGCUAUGAAAUGUUUUCAUAGCAUGAUAAUUCUGCAAUAAAAAUGGAUGCUUUGUAGCACAUGUUAUAGCAGACAAAAAAGGUUAUCAAAAGUAUUGGACUUUCCAUAACAUCCCCUAUGACAAUGUCUCCAAGAAUGCUAUCAAAAGUCUACGAUAACAUUUUUGGUCUGCUAUUGUAUGUGAUAUUUGUUGUAAUGUUUGAUGUUAAUUUGUUUUCUUUUCUUUAUGUAAGUGUUCUAAGCAUGACAGGAUAUCAUCAACGAGGACAAGGAAAAUUUAGUUGAGCAGCUUAGCCUAGCAACAAGGUUAGUGACCUCAGAGGUCAGCUUUCUGAGUUAACUUCUUUGGUUAGCCAAAUGGUUGUAGGAAGAUCACAACAAGUGCGAGCAUGUAGGAUUGGCUCGUUUGUGGGUCAUCCUAAGCAAGCAUGCCCAAGGUUGCAGUGGAGCCCGAUGCCACGAGACUACUUCAUAGGACGAUUUUGUAGUCAUUUGGGUGAUUAUUUCCAUCGGCCUAGAUGUGAGUUCUUUGGCUAUAGGAACCAAGGAUAGGAUUGCAACACUACGAUAUAUACCCCGUCGCAUCUGACGUGUUGAUGCAAGCUCAUACUGCCGGCUUGGGUAUGUUAUUUAACAAUCUUCUUUUUGAACAGAAGAUCCAUUGCCUCCAAUAGGAGAGUCUUUGUCCUCAGAUGAAGGUUGGAACUGACUUUCAGAGUUUGAGAGACCUGGUCGAUCAAUUUGUUGAAUUAGUUGAGAGAGGACAUGAAUCCUUGCUGCUCACAUCCUAUAACACUACGAGGCAUGCUAUCGCACCCCUUCCUAGAUUACUUUCUCAACCUAGAAGAAGAUGUGAAGACAGCAGAUGCCAACCGUCUUAUGACAUCCACUGCCCAUCUCAACUAUAGCACUUUGUUCUCCAAAGCUUCGUGCACCUGAUAUACAAUUUAUAAGCAUACAUUCAUCUAUAUAAUCCCUACAACCUAUGCAGUCAACUCAGAUGCACAUGCUAUAUAUACACAUUAAAAUAGUUUACACAUAUAAGUUACACCAUAAUGGGUCCCAUCUAAAAUCUAUCUUUGGUCCCUAAUAUGUACAUUAAAGGUUACUCAAAAUGAACAAGCUCAAACAAUUAAGCUUCUUCUGGUUGUGCCCCUUUUUAGACUUUGAGCUUUGUGUGGCAGACUGGUAGAUCAACUAGGCUCUAGGGUGUUGACCGCUACCUGAGGAAAAGGAAUAUAUUAGAAAGGGUGAGCUAAAAUGCCUAGUGAGUGACUUCUUAAAAUAUGCUGUUUAGUAAACAUGAUUUGAGAACAUAAUAGUUCAUAAACAUAAAUAUAAAACUCUUUAACUUAGGGUUAAGCAAUAUUAAAAGCAUUGGAAAUAUGCCAUCUUCGAAUGUGCUUUUAGGAACUCCAGAAAUCUCGUAAGACAUUUAGUUCAUUUGAAAAUCACCAUCCUUUAGCCUUAGUUUAGGGAGAACCCUUUUGCUCAAUCGCUCAACGUUGAAAUCCUUAGCUGGUGUAGAGUAAUCUCAAUACAAUCAACGCCGAUAAUAUAAUACCUGCAUACACGUGGUCAAGCCCCAAAGGCUACUCAUAUGCCUUGGAUACUUUCAUCCCUUAGGUAUCAGGGGACCCAGAUACCUUCAUACCUUCAGUAUCGAGUUUUCUCAAUAAAACAUUGUAACUUUAUUUAAGAUAAAAUACAGUAUUCUCAAGCAUAAAGCAUCCCAAUAAAAAUACAUCGUAGGCACAAAAAUCAUUGAAAAAUAGCUCAACUCAUAAAAUGCUAGCUAACAUAUGCUUUUAAGCAUUUAAACUCAAGUAUGCUUCAUAAAACUCUUUUAUAAUUCGUCACAUAUAACGUUAAGCUUGGUUUCAAAAACUAGGAAAAGCAUACUUUAAAACUCAUAGUACAAUUGAUCAAACACAUGCUAUAUUUCACAUAAAACCUCAAGCUUUUGAAAGGAAGGACCAUGCGUCCACUUAUCAAUUUGUAAUUAAAGCAAACAUUGGGAAAACUACUUAAUGGAGAACAUGUUUUGAAAGAGUAAAUUCACUGUAAUUGAACAUCCAUGUGUUGGAAAAUUUAGCAAAAUAUUGUUAGGUUUUAUGUCCUAAAACUCAUAGAUAGUAAAUGUUAUUAAUUGAUUGUCAUCAAUAAGGAGUUAUAGAUGUUAAUUCAAUAAAUGUCAUUGUUUGUAUUGUUUGUCUAUUUUGUCUUAAUAACCCUAAAUCUAAUAAACUAACAUCCAAGACUACUUAUGAAUCUUGAAUUGUAUAUGAAAACAUACAUGGAUCGAUGUUCAAGCUACAGCUUGAAGAGUUUAUAGUAUAAGGAUAAGAUUGGAUACCUUAUCUUGGUAACACUAUGGAUAUGACCUACUUUGUAUUUGAUACAAACACAAUGAUCGAAUGCGUUCGUGUAGUUGACAUGCGAGUGAGGGUAUUCUGUACAAUGAGGUUGCAUAAGUCUGGAUCGCAAAAUAGUAACCAUUAGAUGUAACACCGUUAACUAGUUAGGUUC
This is a long non-coding RNA of Benincasa hispida (wax gourd), 6543 nucleotides long. RefSeq lists it as uncharacterized. The record is from RefSeq and is a predicted model, not a curated record. NCBI's taxonomy places the organism in Eukaryota, Viridiplantae, Streptophyta, Magnoliopsida, Cucurbitales, Cucurbitaceae.